Molecule: ribosomal RNA, 443 nt
Filed under: uncultured bacterium
Lineage: Bacteria
Description: partial 16S ribosomal RNA
Rfam family: Bacterial small subunit ribosomal RNA
Source: RNAcentral
CCUACGUGAGGCAGCAGUGGGGAAUAUUGCACAAUGGGGGAAACCCUGAUGCAGCGACGCCGCGUGAGCGAAGAAGUAUUUCGGUAUGUAAAGCUCUAUCAGCAGGGAAGAAAGAAAUGACGGUACCUGACUAAGAAGCCCCGGCUAACUACGUGCCAGCAGCCGCGGUAAUACGUAGGGGGCAAGCGUUAUCCGGAUUUACUGGGUGUAAAGGGAGCGUAGACGGCGAUGCAAGUCUGAAGUGAAAGGCGGGGGCCCAACCCCCGGACUGCUUUGGAAACUGUAUGGCUGGAGUGCAGGAGAGGUAAGUGGAAUUCCUAGUGUAGCGGUGAAAUGCGUAGAUAUCAGGAGGAACACCGGUGGCGAAGGCGGCCUGCUGGACUGCGACUGACGUUGAGGCCCGAAAGCGUGGGGAGCAAACAGGAUUAGAUACCCGAGUAGUC